GAUUUGGUUUCCCUCCGCUCUACUGGCUCAAGACAGGGGCCUAUACCUGCCCGAACUGCCGGGUGAUUAUCUUCUGAUCACGAAUCCGUUUGCAAAGGGCAUGGAGUGAAGAGACAUGCUCGAUAUGUUUAGAUGUGGUGUGCAGACACCAGGAAGAUUUGGUUUCCCUUCACUGUACCCACAAAUUCCAUCGAGCGUGUCCCAAAAACUGGCUCAAGACAGGGGCCUAUACCUGCCCGAACUGCCGGGUGAUUAUCUUCUGAUCACGAAUCCGUUUGCAAAGGGCAUGGAGUGAAGAGACAUGCUCGAUAUGUUUAGAUGUGGUGUGCAGACACCAGGAAGAUUUGGUUUCCCUCCACUGUACCCACAACUUCCAUCGAGCGUGUCCCGAAAACUGGCUCAAGACAGGGGCCUAUACCUGCCCGAACUGCCGGGUGAUUAUCUUCUGAUCACGAAUCCGGUAGGAAUCUUAUCUAUACUUAUAAUAAAAUUAUAAUCGGAGGAAAUAUUAUUAUGGAAGAUGUACCGCGAUACUAUGAACUCGACCCACAC
Long non-coding RNA from Maniola jurtina (meadow brown), 552 nucleotides. RefSeq lists it as uncharacterized. Lineage: Eukaryota; Metazoa; Arthropoda; Insecta; Lepidoptera; Nymphalidae. The transcript has 3 exons. The record is from RefSeq and is a predicted model, not a curated record.